RNAcentral lists this ribosomal RNA (483 nucleotides) under uncultured bacterium. Its description in RNAcentral is "partial 16S ribosomal RNA". It matches the Rfam family "Bacterial small subunit ribosomal RNA", at positions 28 to 507 of the family's 1533-position model. The record is from RNAcentral.
GAUGAACGCUUGCGGCAGGCUUAAUACAUGCAAGUCGAACGGUAACAGGGUCUUCGGACUGCUGACGAGUGGCGGAUGGGUGAGUAACGCGUAUGCAACCUUCCUCACACCGAGAAAAAGUCGACUGAAAAGUUGAAUAAAGUCUCGUGGUGUGCAUUUCUCGCAUGAGAGAUGUAUGAUAGAAGCAAUUUGGUGUGAGAUGGGCAUGCGUAUCCUUAGCUAGUUGGUAAGGUAACGGCUUACCAAGGCGACGAUGAUUAGGGGGCCUGAGAGGGUGGUCCCCCACACUGGGACUGAGACACGGCCCAGACUCCUACGGGAGGCAGCAGUAGGGAAUAUUGGUCAAUGGGCGGAAGCCUGAACCAGCCAUGCCGCGUGAUGGAUGACGGCCUUAGGGUUGUAAACAUCUUUUCUGCUAGAGGAAUAGAGUUCACGCGUGGACAGACGACUGUAUAGCAGGAAUAAGGAUCGGCUAACUCCGUG